This 497-nucleotide ribosomal RNA is filed under the name uncultured bacterium. RNAcentral describes it as "partial 16S ribosomal RNA". It matches the Rfam family "Bacterial small subunit ribosomal RNA", at positions 28 to 507 of the family's 1533-position model. The record is from RNAcentral.
GAUGAUCGCUGGCGGCGUGCCUAAUACAUGCAAGUCGAGCGAACAGACGAGGAGCUUGCUCCUCUGACGUUAGCGGCGGACGGGUGAGUAACACGUGGAUAACCUACCUAUAAGACUGGGAUAACUUCGGGAAACCGGAGCUAAUACCGGAUAAUAUAUUGAACCGCAUGGUUCAAUAGUGAAAGACGGUUUUGCUGUCACUUAUAGAUGGAUCCGCGCCGCAUUAGCUAGUUGGUAAGGUAACGGCUUACCAAGGCAACGAUGCGUAGCCGACCUGAGAGGGUGAUCGGCCACACUGGAACUUAGACACGGUCCAGACUCCUACGGGAGGCAGCAGUAGGGAAUCUUCCGCAAUGGGCGAAAGCUUGACGGAGCAACGCCGCGUGAGUGAUGAAGGUCUUCGGAUCGUAAAACUCUGUUAUUAGGGAAGAACAAAUGUGUAAGUAACUAUGCACGUCUUGACGGUACCUAAUCAGAAAGCCACGGCUAACUACGUG